GCCCAACAGCUAGCCCACCCUUAAAAACCAACACCCCCUAUUAAUACCCCCGAACACACACCCUUAAACAAAACAAAACAUUUUUCCUCCCUAGUACGGGCGACGGAAAAGGAACAAUUUUUGAGCGACAGAGAAAGUACCGCAAGGGAAAGCUGAAAGAGAAAUGAAACAACCCAGUAAAGCCCAAAAAAGCAGAGACACAACCUCGUACCUUUGGCAAUCAUG
This 225-nucleotide ribosomal RNA is filed under the name Amblyglyphidodon curacao (staghorn damselfish). RNAcentral describes it as "partial 16S ribosomal RNA". Lineage: Eukaryota; Metazoa; Chordata; Actinopteri; Pomacentridae. The record is from RNAcentral.